Long non-coding RNA from Anas platyrhynchos (mallard), 1510 nucleotides. RefSeq lists it as uncharacterized. NCBI's taxonomy places the organism in Eukaryota, Metazoa, Chordata, Aves, Anseriformes, Anatidae. The record is from RefSeq and is a predicted model, not a curated record.
CCUAAGAUAAAUAAACAUAAUAAUAUAUUUUUCAAGAAACUGGGUAGCAAGUACAUGCAGAUGAUAACCUUCGCUUUGAAAGCCUAACAACCACUUCACAGAACAGAAUGCCGUUGAAUCUGUCAGCCCGGUAUUUAGCUUUAUCUAACUUCCAGAGACCCUCAAUCUCCAUCAGUAGUUUUACAUCAAAACAGAGUAAGAUAUGACAAAAUGAAUCCCUAAUGGUUUUCAGGACAGAUGCAUGGAAAAAAAUGUUAUAGCACAUAUAGUCAUAGUAAGGAAUACAAUUAUUCUACUUACAGUCCUUCUCAUAGUGAAUUUCUUAUUUAUAAGUUCCCUGAGAAGUUUGUGAGCAGCAUUUUGUAUCAAGUAAUACUAUGGCUAAGGCAAAACCUCAGACUUAUUAUUCCUGUUUCAUCUGUGAGGACUAAGCAUUAUCUUCACACCUAAGCUAGAUAUUUGAACAGAAGAAUAUAAGAGUAUAUGUAGUAAUGAAACUAGCCUAAGUUUUUUCCUUACUUUGUUCAAGAAACAUACAAAUUUUUCUGAUACAUGCUUUGAAUCAGACAGCUAGAUGAACUGGAGAUGACUGUGUAAAUUCUCAUGCACACACAGUAAUCACUUCAGUCUUACAAAGUUACUUUUAUUUAUUAAUUGCAUUUUCAAUAGUUAUUCAAUCAAUAAGAUUUAUUAAAAAUAAAAAUUCUGCUUUCCAUAAAAUAAAGCAAUAGUUAAGUCACUUUUUUCACCUCAUUUUCUGAAAUGAUGUAGAAGCAACAGCACGCUUAGGUGAGAUAGAGUCAUCUUCAUUUUCAUGCAGACGCUUUCUCGUUGUGGCCGACUAAAAGAAAAAUGCAGCAGGAUGGCUACAUUAAUCAGUUUAUUUCCCCAUCCCUCCCGCAACACACACAGAGCUACUGAAGGAGUUACAAAAAUAGAAAAACAACUAUAAAAGUUUAUACUCUGGUGCUACAAACAAACUGGGAGAUGCAUUGUAGUAGUUACAUACCACAAUUGCUGAAACCUUUUCCAAGUGCAAAGAGUCGACCCCAAGGCUGAGGAACAAGCUCUUCAGGUUCCUGAUCCUCAGGAAUUGAUGGAAGCUCUUGAGUGGGAACGGUGUCCAAAGAACUGAGGGUCCCAGAACUUGAGGAUGACUGGCUAGCACUCUGUGAUGCACUAGAAGAGGAACUGGUACCACUCUGUGACUGUUGGGCACCUUGAGACUGCUGCACUUCAUUUCCAGUCUCUCGAGACAUGUUGGCUUCAAAGAGAACAUUUAAAAACCACUUACUACAGCAAAGUAAUAUUGACAAACUUUCAUAUACAGUCCCAUUAUCAUACAAAUCUAUUUCCAGUCUUCAAAUAAGACUCUCAACCAAAGCUUGCAUGUGUGUUUGCAUAUAUUUAAAUAUCCCCCAAAAUGUGUAAUGACUUUUUGUUUUAAAAAAGUAUGUAGUGCUCCCUCUACCGGUUCUAAAGCAAGUUAAAUCUUAUUCCCAGAUUUUCA